Molecule: ribosomal RNA, 253 nt
Filed under: uncultured bacterium
Lineage: Bacteria
Description: partial 16S ribosomal RNA
Rfam family: Bacterial small subunit ribosomal RNA
Source: RNAcentral
UACAGAGGGGGCAAGCGUUAUUCGGAAUUACUGGGCGUAAAGAGCUCGUAGGUGGUUUGUCGCGUUGUUCGUGAAAACUCACAGCUUAACUGUGGGCGUGCGGGCGAUACGGGCAGACUGGAGUACUGCAGGGGAGACUGGAAUUCCUGGUGUAGCGGUGGAAUGCGCAGAUAUCAGGAGGAACACCGGUGGCGAAGGCGGGUCUCUGGGCAGUAACUGACGCUGAGGAGCGAAAGCGUGGGGAGCGAACAGG